RNAcentral lists this ribosomal RNA (257 nucleotides) under uncultured bacterium. RNAcentral describes it as "partial 16S ribosomal RNA". It matches the Rfam family "Bacterial small subunit ribosomal RNA", at positions 524 to 776 of the family's 1533-position model. The record is from RNAcentral.
UACGAAGGGGGCUAGCGUUGCUCGGAUUUACUGGGCGUAAAGGGCGCGUAGGCGGACAGUUAAGUUGGGGGUGAAAGCCCGGGGCUCAACCUCGGAAUUGCCUUCAAUACUGGCUGUCUUGAGUGCGGGAGAGGUGUGUGGAACUCCGAGUGUAGAGAUGAAAUUCGUAGAUAUUCGGGAAGAAACACCAGUGGCCGAAGGCGACACACUGGCCCGUUACUGACGCUGAGGCGCGAAAAGCGUGGGGAGCAAACAGG